Long non-coding RNA from Thalassophryne amazonica, 911 nucleotides. RefSeq lists it as uncharacterized. Lineage: Eukaryota; Metazoa; Chordata; Actinopteri; Batrachoidiformes; Batrachoididae. The record is from RefSeq and is a predicted model, not a curated record. The transcript has 4 exons.
GUUGUUUGAGCGAUUGUUUGUGCAUCAUGUCACACGCUCCAUGACAGCCAGACAUCCCUCUGAGCCUGAAACUGAUCCCAUGGUCACCUCAAAGUUUAGCCCUGUAAAGGACUCGGCGCGCUCGGGGGUACGCCUCUGAAAGGGAAAGCCAGCGAGGACGCUCUGAGGCCAGGGCCAGCGAACGCGCCAGCGGGAUGUCUCAUCACUCUCUCCACACUUUUGCUGUCAGAGCUUUUGUUUCAACAACAUUACUCACUCAAAAGGGCCUGCACCCAGAAUAACAAGGUGGAAUAAUGGUGUAGCAUUGCCUUGAACAGGCUGUGUAAAAGGGGCUAAUGACUGGAUGUGGCCCUGGAGCAGUCAGAGGUCAAGUGGAAGGAGGCCCAUGCAGUGAGUCUGUGCCAGGCAGCCAGGCUGGUUGUGUCGAGCGGUGGGAGGCAUAAGCGACAGGUAUUGAUAUGGAUUUGUCUCCAGUUGGCCCCACCACAGAGCCCGGGGACUGUUAAUGGGCCUCUAACGGGAUGACCAGCCCAUGGACGCCCCCCCAGAACUCCUGGAGAAGAGGACAUGAUAACAGAUGGAAGUGAAAAAGGUACUUUGGCUGUUUGACGGACACAUGGAGCAAAGUGAGGGUGAGCAGAGGGCGACAAUGACAGCUCCUGGUGGGCCAUAAGAAAGUGACAGUGGUGAUGUAGUGGAGCUUCUGCUCAGGAAGAGACAAACCCGUUGGCCCUGAAGGAACUCUUACAAAGCUAUUCCGAAACAGUUUAAGUGGCUGUUAAAGUUGAAGUGGCAAUGGAGAAUUUCCAGACGGUGCUUUUGAUUAAAGUUCAUUAAAACAUUGCUAGCAGCCAAACCUUUGAGUGCUGGACUCACCUUUGACCAUUGCUUGGUUAAAGAUACAUCCUUAU